AUUGAACGCUGGCGGCAGGCCUAACACAUGCAAGUCGAGCGAGCGGCGGACGGGUGAGUAAUGUCUGGGAAACUGCCUGAUGGGGGGGGAUAACUACUGGAAACGGUAGCUAAUACCGCAUACCAUCAGAUGCGCCCAGAGGGGCUUUGCUAGUAGGUGGGGUAACGGCUCACCUAGGCGACGCUCCCUAGCUGGUCUGAGGGGAUGGCCAGCCACACUGGAACUGGGACACGGGCCAGACGCCUACGGGAGGCAGCAGUGGGGAAUAUUGCAAAAUGGGGGCAAGCCUGAUGGAGCCAUGCCGCGUGUAGUAAGAAGGCCUUCGGGUUGGAAAGUACUUUCAGCGGGGAGGCGUUACCCGCAGGAGAAGCACCGGCUAACUCCGGGCCAGCAGCCGCGGUAAUUC
RNAcentral lists this ribosomal RNA (406 nucleotides) under uncultured bacterium. RNAcentral describes it as "partial 16S ribosomal RNA". It matches the Rfam family "Bacterial small subunit ribosomal RNA", at positions 29 to 526 of the family's 1533-position model. The record is from RNAcentral.